UACGUAGGUGGCAAGCGUUGUCCGGAAUUAUUGGGCGUAAAGCGCGCGCAGGUGGUUUCUUAAGUCUGAUGUGAAAGCCCACGGCUCAACCGUGGAGGGUCAUUGGAAACUGGGGAACUUGAGUGCAGGAGAGAAGAGUGGAAUUCCAAGUGUAGCGGUGAAAUGCGUAGAGAUUUGGAGGAACACCAGUGGCGAAGGCGACUUUCUGGUCUGUAACUGACACUGAGGCGCGAAAGCGUGGGGAGCGAACAGG
Molecule: ribosomal RNA, 253 nt
Filed under: uncultured bacterium
Lineage: Bacteria
Description: partial 16S ribosomal RNA
Rfam family: Bacterial small subunit ribosomal RNA
Source: RNAcentral